UUAAGCGACUAAGCGUACACGGUGGAUGCCCUGGCAGUCAGAGGCGAUGAAGGACGUGCUAAUCUGCGAAAAGCGUCGGUAAGGUGAUAUGAACCGUUAUAACCGGCGAUGUCCGAAUGGGGAAACCCAGUGUGAUUCGUCACACUAUCGUUAACUGAAUACAUAGGUUAACGAGGCGAACCGGGGGAACUGAAACAUCUAAGUACCCCGAGGAAAAGAAAUCAACCGAGAUUCCCCCAGUAGCGGCGAGCGAACGGGGAGCAGCCCAGAGUCUGAAUCAGCUUGUGUGUUAGUGGAACGGUCUGGAAAGUCCGACGGUACAGGGUGAUAGUCCCGUACACCAAAAUGCACAGGUUGUGAACUCGAAGAGUAGGGCGGGACACGUGGUAUCCUGUCUGAAUAUGGGGGGACCAUCCUCCAAGGCUAAAUACUCCUGACUGACCGAUAGUGAACCAGUACCGUGAGGGAAAGGCGAAAAGAACCCCGGCGAGGGGAGUGAAAAAGAACCUGAAACCGUGUACGUACAAGCAGUGGGAGCACCUUCGGGUGUGACUGCGUACCUUUUGUAUAAUGGGUCAGCGACUUAUAUUCUGUAGCAAGGUUAACCGUAUAGGGGAGCCGCAGGGAAACCGAGUCUUAACUGGGCGUUAAGUUGCAGGGUAUAGACCCGAAACCCGGUGAUCUAGCCAUGGGCAGGUUGAAGGUUGGGUAACACUAACUGGAGGACCGAACCGACUAAUGUUGAAAAAUUAGCGGAUGACUUGUGGCUGGGGGUGAAAGGCCAAUCAAACCGGGAGAUAGCUGGUUCUCCCCGAAAGCUAUUUAGGUAGCGCCUCGUGAAUUCAUCUUCGGGGGUAGAGCACUGUUUCGGCUAGGGGGUCAUCCCGACUUACCAACCCGAUGCAAACUACGAAUACCGAAGAAUGUUAUCACGGGAGACACACGGCGGGUGCUAACGUCCGUCGUGAAGAGGGAAACAACCCAGACCGCCAGCUAAGGUCCCAAAGUCAUGGUUAAGUGGGAAACGAUGUGGGAAGGCACAGACAGCCAGGAUGUUGGCUUAGAAGCAGCCAUCAUUUAAAGAAAGCGUAAUAGCUCACUGGUCGAGUCGGCCUGCGCGGAAGAUGUAACGGGGCUAAACCAUGCACCGAAGCUGCGGCAGCGACACGAUGUGUUGUUGGGUAGGGGAGCGUUCUGUAAGCCUGCGAAGGUGUGCUGUGAGGCAUGCUGGAGGUAUCAGAAGUGCGAAUGCUGACAUAAGUAACGAUAAAGCGGGUGAAAAGCCCGCUCGCCGGAAGACCAAGGGUUCCUGUCCAACGUUAAUCGGGGCAGGGUGAGUCGACCCCUAAGGCGAGGCCGAAAGGCGUAGUCGAUGGGAAACAGGUUAAUAUUCCUGUACUUGGUGUUACUGCGAAGGGGGGACGGAGAAGGCUAUGUUAGCCGGGCGACGGUUGUCCCGGUUUAAGCAUGUAGGCUGGUUGUCCAGGCAAAUCCGGAUAAUCAAGGCUGAGGUGUGAUGACGAGGCACUACGGUGCUGAAGUAACAAAUGCCCUGCUUCCAGGAAAAGCCUCUAAGCAUCAGGUAACAUCAAAUCGUACCCCAAACCGACACAGGUGGUCAGGUAGAGAAUACCAAGGCGCUUGAGAGAACUCGGGUGAAGGAACUAGGCAAAAUGGUGCCGUAACUUCGGGAGAAGGCACGCUGGUGUGUAGGUGAAGUCCCUGCGGAUGGAGCUGAGACCAGUCGAAGAUACCAGCUGGCUGCAACUGUUUAUUAAAAACACAGCACUGUGCAAACACGAAAGUGGACGUAUACGGUGUGACGCCUGCCCGGUGCCGGAAGGUUAAUUGAUGGGGUUAUCCGUAAGGAGAAGCUCUUGAUCGAAGCCCCGGUAAACGGCGGCCGUAACUAUAACGGUCCUAAGGUAGCGAAAUUCCUUGUCGGGUAAGUUCCGACCUGCACGAAUGGCGUAAUGAUGGCCAGGCUGUCUCCACCCGAGACUCAGUGAAAUUGAACUCGCUGUGAAGAUGCAGUGUACCCGCGGCAAGACGGAAAGACCCCGUGAACCUUUACUAUAGCUUGACACUGAACAUUGAGCCUUGAUGUGUAGGAUAGGUGGGAGGCUUUGAAGCGUGGACGCCAGUCUGCGUGGAGCCAACCUUGAAAUACCACCCUUUAAUGUUUGAUGUUCUAACGUUGGCCCCUGACCGGGGUUGCGGACAGUGUCUGGUGGGUAGUUUGACUGGGGCGGUCUCCUCCCAAAGCGUAACGGAGGAGCACGAAGGUUAGCUAAUCCUGGUCGGACAUCAGGAGGUUAGUGCAAUGGCAUAAGCUAGCUUGACUGCGAGCGUGACGGCGCGAGCAGGUGCGAAAGCAGGUCAUAGUGAUCCGGUGGUUCUGAAUGGAAGGGCCAUCGCUCAACGGAUAAAAGGUACUCCGGGGAUAACAGGCUGAUACCGCCCAAGAGUUCAUAUCGACGGCGGUGUUUGGCACCUCGAUGUCGGCUCAUCACAUCCUGGGGCUGAAGUAGGUCCCAAGGGUAUGGCUGUUCGCCAUUUAAAGUGGUACGCGAGCUGGGUUUAGAACGUCGUGAGACAGUUCGGUCCCUAUCUGCCGUGGGCGCUGGAGAAUUGAGGGGGGCUGCUCCUAGUACGAGAGGACCGGAGUGGACGCAUCACUGGUGUUCGGGUUGUCAUGCCAAUGGCACUGCCCGGUAGCUAAAUGCGGAAGAGAUAAGUGCUGAAAGCAUCUAAGCACGAAACUUGCCCCGAGAUGAGUUCUCCCUGAGACUUUAAGUCUCCUGAAGGAACGUUGAAGACGACGACGUUGAUAGGCCGGGUGUGUAAGCGCAGCGAUGCGUUGAGCUAACCGGUACUAAUGAACCGUGAGGCUUAACCUU
RNAcentral lists this ribosomal RNA (2900 nucleotides) under Klebsiella pneumoniae. RNAcentral describes it as "bacterial LSU rRNA". It matches the Rfam family "Bacterial large subunit ribosomal RNA". The record is from RNAcentral. Lineage: Bacteria; Pseudomonadati; Pseudomonadota; Gammaproteobacteria; Enterobacterales; Enterobacteriaceae.